AAAGUUCGGUAACAAAGGUUUCCGUAGGUGAACCUGCGGAAGGAUCAUUACCCAGUCCUUGCCCAAAAGGGUAGACCUCCCACCCUUGUGUAUUAUUACUUUGUUGCUUUGGCGAGCUGCCUUCGGGCCUUGUAUGCUCGCCAGAGAAUACCAAAACUCUUUUUAUUAAUGUCGUCUGAGUACUAUAUAAUAGUUAAAACUUUCAACAACGGAUCUCUUGGUUCUGGCAUCGAUGAAGAACGCAGCGAAAUGCGAUAAGUAAUGGGAAUUGCAAAAUUCAGUGAAUCAUCGAAUCUUUGAACGCACAUUGCGCCCCUUGGUAUUCCGGGGGGCAUGCCUGUUCGAGCGUCAUUUCAACCCUCAAGCUUAACUUGGUAUUGAGUCUAUGUCAGUAAUGGCAGGCUCUAAAAUCAGUGGCGGCGCCGCUGGGUCCUGAACGUAGUAAUAUCUCUCGUUACAGGUUCUCGGUGUGCUUCUGCCAAAACCCAAAUUUUUCUAUGGUUGACCUCGGAUCAGGUAGGGAUACCCGCUGAACUUAAGCAUAUCAAUAA
This 551-nucleotide ribosomal RNA is filed under the name Botrytis cinerea. RNAcentral describes it as "eukaryotic LSU rRNA". The stretch from base 198 to 351 matches the Rfam family "5.8S ribosomal RNA". The record is from RNAcentral. Lineage: Eukaryota; Fungi; Ascomycota; Leotiomycetes; Helotiales; Sclerotiniaceae.